This 788-nucleotide non-coding RNA is filed under the name Sarcophaga tsinanensis. Lineage: Eukaryota; Metazoa; Arthropoda; Insecta; Diptera; Sarcophagidae. The record is from RNAcentral.
GUUAUAAAGUUUUAUUUUGGCUUGUAAAUUUGUUAUCAGUUUAAUUUAUAUGCAAAUUUUUGUGUGGAUUUUUAUUUAUUUUAAUAGUAAAUAAUUUAUUUAUUAAUCGCAGUAAUUAAUAUUAUUAAUUAAGGAAAUUUAGAGAUAGUAAUAUUGAAGAGUAGUGGCUAAAUUUGUGCCAGCAGCCGCGGUUAUACGAAUAAUACAAAUAAUUUUUUUUAGUUAUAGUUAAAUUGAUUAUUUAUAAAAUAAAAAUAAAUUUAUUAGGUGAAAUUUUAAAUUUAUAUAAAUUUUAAAUUAAAUAAUGCAGGCUUGGAAAUUUUAUUUAUAAACUAGGAUUAGAUACCCUAUUAUUUAAAAUGUAUCUUAAAAAACUAAGGUAGUAAUAGUUAUGUUCUUGAAACUUAAAAAAUUUGGCGGUAUUUUAGUCUAUUCAGAGGAACCUGUCUUUUAAUCGAUAAUCCACGAUGGACCUUACUUAAGUUUGUAUUCAGUUUAUAUACCGUCGUUAUUAGAAUAUUUUAUAAGAAAGUUAAUUUUCAAGAUUUUUUAAGAAAAAAUAUAUCAGAUCAAGGUGUAGCUUAUAUUUAAGUAUAGAUGGGUUACAAUAAAAUUAUUUAUAUGAAUAUAAAUUUGAAAAUUUUAUUGAAAGUGGAUUUGAUAGUAAAAUUAUAUAGAUUAAUAAUUUGAUUUUAGCUCUAAAAUAUGCACACAUCGCCCGUCACUCUUAUUAUUAAGGUAAGAUAAGUCGUAACAUAGUAGGUGUACUGGAAAGUGUAUCUAGAAUG